GAGCGGUAGAGAGAAGCUUGCUUCUCUUGAGAGCGGCGGACGGGUGAGUAAUGCCUAGGAAUCUGCCUGGUAGUGGGGGAUAACGUUCGGAAACGAACGCUAAUACCGCAUACGUCCUACGGGAGAAAGCAGGGGACCUUCGGGCCUUGCGCUAUCAGAUGAGCCUAGGUCGGAUUAGCUAGUUGGUGAGGUAAUGGCUCACCAAGGCGACGAUCCGUAACUGGUCUGAGAGGAUGAUCAGUCACACUGGAACUGAGACACGGUCCAGACUCCUACGGGAGGCAGCAGUGGGGAAUAUUGGACAAUGGGCGAAAGCCUGAUCCAGCCAUGCCGCGUGUGUGAAGAAGGUCUUCGGAUUGUAAAGCACUUUAAGUUGGGAGGAAGGGCAGUUACCUAAUACGUGAUUGUUUUGACGUUACCGACAGAAUAAGCACCGGCUAACUCUGUG
RNAcentral lists this ribosomal RNA (448 nucleotides) under uncultured bacterium. Its description in RNAcentral is "bacterial SSU rRNA". It matches the Rfam family "Bacterial small subunit ribosomal RNA", at positions 64 to 507 of the family's 1533-position model. The record is from RNAcentral.